RNAcentral lists this ribosomal RNA (471 nucleotides) under uncultured bacterium. RNAcentral's name for it is "bacterial SSU rRNA". It matches the Rfam family "Bacterial small subunit ribosomal RNA", at positions 335 to 798 of the family's 1533-position model. The record is from RNAcentral.
ACUCCUACGGGAGGCAGCAGUGGGGAAUAUUGGACAAUGGGCGCAAGCCUGAUCCAGCCAUGCCGCGUGGGUGAAGAAGGCCUUCGGGUUGUAAAGCCCUUUUGUUGGGAAAGAAAAGCAGUCGGUUAAUACCCGAUUGUUCUGACGGUACCCAAAGAAUAAGCACCGGCUAACUUCGUGCCAGCAGCCGCGGUAAUACGAAGGGUGCAAGCGUUACUCGGAAUUACUGGGCGUAAAGCGUGCGUAGGUGGUGGUUUAAGUCUGUUGUGAAAGCCCUGGGCUCAACCUGGGAAUUGCAGUGGAUACUGGGUCACUAGAGUGUGGUAGAGGGUAGCGGAAUUCCCGGUGUAGCAGUGAAAUGCGUAGAGAUCGGGAGGAACAUCCGUGGCGAAGGCGGCUACCUGGACCAACACUGACACUGAGGCACGAAAGCGUGGGGAGCAAACAGGAUUAGAUACCCUGGUAGGAUAG